Molecule: long non-coding RNA, 166 nt
Organism: Etheostoma cragini (Arkansas darter)
Lineage: Eukaryota; Metazoa; Chordata; Actinopteri; Perciformes; Percidae
Exons: 3
Source: RefSeq, a predicted model, not a curated record
CAAUAAAUGGCGUGUAUGUUUACGCCCAUUGUCUACAGCGUAGACAUACACACGGAUUCCUCAAAAUGUGUACAGAUAAUACGUCACUUGGCUUAAGAAAGUGGGCGGGUAUGUUUACGCAAAGUCCUGAUGUCAUGUUGUAUUGAUGGUGGAUGCAAAAAUCUAA